Molecule: ribosomal RNA, 700 nt
Filed under: uncultured bacterium
Lineage: Bacteria
Description: bacterial SSU rRNA
Rfam family: Bacterial small subunit ribosomal RNA
Source: RNAcentral
UAGUCCAUGCCGUAAACGAUGUGUGUUAGACGUUGGAAAUUUUUUUUCAGUGUCGCAGCGAAAGCGAUAAACACACCGCCUGGGGAGUACGACCGCAAGGUUAAAACUCAAAUGAAUUGACGGGGACCCGCACAAGUAGUGGAGCAUGUGGUUUAAUUCGAAGAUACGCGCAGAACCUUACCAACACUUGACAUGUUCGUCGCGACUCUAAGAGAUUAGAGUUUUCGGUUCGGCCGGACGAAACACAGGUGCUGCAUGGCUGUCGUCAGCUCGUGUCGUGAGAUGUUGGGUUAAGUCCCGCAACGAGCGCAACCCUCACUUUUAGUUGCCAUCAUUAAGUUGGGCACUCUGGAAGAACUGCCAGUGAUAAGCUGGAGGAAGGUGGGGAUGACGUCAAGUCCUCAUGGCCCUUACGUGUUGGGCUACACACGUGCUACAAUGGUAUCUACAACAGGAAGCAAGACUGCGAGGUCAAGCAAAUCCUUAAAAGAUACCUCAGUUCGGAUUGCACUCUGCAACUCGAGUGCAUGAAGUUGGAAUUACUAGUAAUCGUGGAUCAGCGUGCCACGGUGAAUGCGUUCCCGGGUCUUGUACACACCGCCCGUCACACCAUGGGAGUUGGUUCUACCUUAAGGCAAGGCAUAAAACCCUUGACCACGGUAUAGUCAGCGACUGGGGUGAAGUCGUAACAAGGUAACCG